Molecule: non-coding RNA, 115 nt
Organism: Triticum aestivum (bread wheat)
Lineage: Eukaryota; Viridiplantae; Streptophyta; Magnoliopsida; Poales; Poaceae
Source: Rfam
AUGGUACUCCCUCCGUUCCAAAUUACUUGUCGUGGGAAUAGAUGUAUCUAGAUGCAUUUUAAUGCUAGAUACAUCCAUUUCUGCGACGAGUAAUUUAGAACGGAGGGAGUACAAG